This 231-nucleotide long non-coding RNA is filed under the name Schizosaccharomyces pombe (fission yeast). The record is from RNAcentral. Lineage: Eukaryota; Fungi; Ascomycota; Schizosaccharomycetes; Schizosaccharomycetales; Schizosaccharomycetaceae.
AUAAGUAGCAACUGAGUAUAGGUAUUGUAUUAACUGGGUUAUAAUGUUACCUAUCACUAAUAUAGCUCAUAACUGAACUGAGGAACGAGGUUCAGUUGUAACGCUAUUUAUAAUAUUUCUAAAUAGUUGUUAUCAACGGGUAUCUAUGUAUAUAGACGGAUAGUUACCCGUGAUUAUCAAUAAACGGAUCUUAGCUAGUAUUCCAACAUAUGACAUAUAGUGAUACGCAAC